This 3817-nucleotide small RNA is filed under the name Pyricularia oryzae. RNAcentral's name for it is "Magnaporthe oryzae sRNA M_BR32_EuGene_00128311". Lineage: Eukaryota; Fungi; Ascomycota; Sordariomycetes; Magnaporthales; Pyriculariaceae. The record is from RNAcentral.
UUUAAAAAGAAUUUGCGAAAAAAAGGUUAAAAUAAUAAAAUAAAAUGAAAUACAUUGUAAAAAACCAUAUAUUUAUAAAAUUCUAAUAAGAUUAUUUCAUAGAAAUAUCCAUUCGCAAUAUUAAAUAAUAAUAAUAACGCGUAAUUCAAACCUAAAUAUAUUAAAACUUUUACAAUUUUAUUUAGCGUAAAAAAUAAAAAUAUUUUUUGGUUUUAUUAAUAUAAUUUAACAAAUUAAACGAUAUUCUUCCAAUAAAAUUUUACCAAUUAUAAAAACCCAGGAACCAAAACAAUUACCAAAUUAUAUUUUGCGCAAAAUUCAAAAUUAAAAAAAAUUGUAACAUGGAAAACAUUAUUAAUAUAUACAAAGUUUAAUAUUUAUUAUUAUUUAAUUUAGAAAUUUAACUACCAAACCUAAUAAUUGAUAAAUAACAAAAAUAAACUUAACUACAAAAAAUAAAAUAAAAUUAAUUUUACAAAAAUAUUGUAAAAAAUUAAACCAAAAGCAAAAAUUAUUAUUAUAAGACAAAAACGCAGAAAUUAAAUAUAUUAAAUAUAAAUAAAACCAAAGUUCUUCUAAAUUUAAUUAAUAUAACCAAAAUUUAUAAAACAAAAACCUAAAUUAAGCCUAAACCUAAUUUUAACGUUUAUUAAAUAAUUUUGAAAAAUACCCAAUUGUUUUUUAGGAAAUAACGUAAUCCAAAAUUAAUUUUUUUUCUGAAAAAAUUAAAAACGAAAAAAAAGUAAAACGGGAAAAUAUAUAACUUUUAUAAAAAUAUUAUAAUUUUGCUAAAAAAUAGGCCGAAAAUAAAUAACACGGUUUUUAUUAAAUUGCGGACGCUUGCUUUUAUUAAUAAAAUGGCGAAACAAUUAAAUUACCACCAUCCGGGCGCUGGAAAUACGGAAAGAUUUAUUUAAAAUCGCAAAUCUGCGUUUUUUUACCAUUUGAUGCGCGUAUCCCGAAUUAAAUAUGAUAAUAACGCCAAAUUUCCAAGAAUAAAGAAACAUUUUUAAAACGGGGCUAACGUAGGGGAACCACCGCAUUUUUACAAUUUAUUAAAAAAACAAUUAAUAUAAGUUUAAAAUUAGGUAAUUGUCAAAAGAAGCCAAAUAAUUUAAAAAAAACUAAUUAUAUUAUCGGGAAUAAGAAUUUAUUAUCAACGGAUACUAACUCGCGAAAAAACAAUAGAUUCCCACCAACGCCAUCUUUUGCUAUUUUUAUUAUAAUUAUUCCUUUUGAAAUUUUAUAUUCCUUAUUCGAAAAAUACGGUAAUGGGUAAGUACACACGUAAAUUAAAAAACAACGAAAAUAUAAAACGCAAUAUAUUAUUAAACCGUUUGGAAAAAACAAAAAUUUAAUUGAAAUUCUUUAUAUAUAAAAACGCCAAAAUUGACCAAAUUAAAAAACGUAAUUUUUAUAAUUUUAAAAUAAUAAUUUCUGGCCCUUUUGAUUUUAUUUGAAACCCGCAGAUAAUUAGGUUAAUUUUUAAACAGGCUAAUUUGGCCAAAACGUUUGUGUUUUUAAUUUUCAAAAUAUUCCGUAAAUAAUAUAAAAUUCACCAAAACGCCAAAUAAUUUUCUUCACUCUUUGGGUAAUUUUCUACCAGCGUAAAAUUGGGUAAGGAAGUUUAUAUUAUAUUACGUAAAUAAAGAAGUCGGCAAUAUUAUUAAUUACAAUUGCAAUUUUUAUAUGUAAAUUGAUAAAACGAUUGAUAAAUUGUUAAAAAAAAUCAAAGCGCAAAAAUAACGCAUUUUAUUAAUUUGCAAAUAUAAAAGUUCUUUUAAAAUAAAAGCAAAAUUUACUUAUUUUACCCCUUUUUAAAAACGGGUUUUUAAACAUAUUUCAAAUCGGGGAAAUUUUUGGUAGUUUGAAUUUUUUUUUGACGGGACCAAAACUUUAUAUAAAUGGUGGGGUUAUGGAUUAUACUAAUCUUAACGCUAAUUAUAGCAAAGACUUGGAAAUUGCGGGCGUUUUUGUGGAUAAUAUUUGUAAUAGAACCAAAUGCAAAAAGAUGUAAUAAAAGCGGGUAGUAAAAAGCUAAUUUAAUAUAAAGAAACGCGAACAAAACGCAAAGAUAACGCAAACGAAAAAAUAAUAGUAUUUCGUAAUGGAAGUAAAAACAAACGAAAGAAAUUAAUUAAAAGUUUUUUCGUUAAAAAUUCAAAAGGUAUUAAAUAUAUAAACAAAGUGGGGUUUAUAAAUUAAUAACGUUAUAACCCAUUUUUUGGAACAAAUACCGCCUAUUACCAAUAAGGAUCCACGCGGAAUAAUUGUUUUUCAUUUGCGUUUAUUAAAAGAUAUUCCGCUUUAAAUUCAAAAUCGUUAUUUAGAAUAAAAACGUUUUUAUUAGGAGGGAUAAUUAUUAUUUGCAAAUUUAUUUAUAUUAAAAUAUCAAAGUAUAGUUUUAAACGUCGAAUUUUGUUAAAUUUUGUAAAUUCGUACUACGUACAUAUAAUAGGAACGCGGUUUAUAAAUAAAGGUUUUCAAGUUUUUAAGGUUGCACGUUAAUUAUAAAUUUAGAAAUUUGAUUUUAUUUGUUUAAUUAUUAUUAUUAUAAUAUAAUCGUGGACUGUUAUACGUUAUAUUAUUACCCUGUAUUUUUAUUGGUUAGCGUGUACCUAGUUAAUAUUUAUCCCCAGUUGUAACAAAUAAACGUUUUAAUAAGGAAGUUUUAAUGGAAAACAUGCAAUUUAUUUUUCAAAAUUAUAUUAAUUAAUUAUAAACAAUUUUAAUUAUUUAUAAAAACCUCGCUUUUACAUUUCAAUGUAUUUUUAUUAAGAUUAUUUUGCGUUAGUAAUAGUAGUGUAAAAGUCGAAUUCCCGUUAGUAGUUUGGAAUGCGGCGGUUGAAUAAACUUUAAUUAUUUAAAAAUAAAAAAUAAACAUUUGUACUUAAAUUAAUAUCUUCCCUCUAUGUUUUCAAUUAAUAUUAACGUUUUAUUAGCUUUAAUAAAUAUUAUUAAUACUAUUAUCAAAGGUAUAAUAAUAAUUACAUUUUCGGCGAUGUUUAUUUCAAGUUAUUAUUAUAAAUUCUAUUAUUAUAUUUGGAACUUUUUAUCUUAUUAAUCAAUUCUUUGUUGUUUUUAAUAUUAAUACUUUUUUUUAAAUUCCUAUAAAUUCGUUUCAAAAAAAUGGCUUGCUAGUAAAAUUAAAAUUAGUACUAAUAUUAUUAAUUUAACGGGACUUUAUAUAUAAUAUUUUAAUAACUAAUUUCAAUAGUCUUUUUAUAAUCCCAACGGAUAUUUCCGUAAUUAAAUUUCCGCAAUUAUUAAUUUUAUUUCCCAUACGUUUAAAUUUCUUUUUAAUUAACUUUUUUAAUUUUAACCUUGAAUAUUUUUACGGGUUUAUUAAAAUAUUAUAUUACCGAUUUGAUUUAACGGUUAUUAUUUCAAUGCCUCCCCAAUUUUACAAAAGAUUAAUCAAAACUGCUAUUAGAACUCGUGGUCCGGAAGUGGGCAGGGCCCUGAAGUGGUUAUUUCUCUUUUGCUCUUUUAAACUUUAUAACAAUCUAAUCCAAUACGAAGUUUAAGCCAAAUUUGAUACGUAUAGAAGACUAAACAGCUGCUUUUUAAUAGCCUAGUAAAUAUAUUUGUAACGCUAAUAAUAAUAGGAAAAUUGAGCAUAAUAUACAUUUGCUGAUUUUAUUAUUUAAAAUGCGAAUUGAAAUGCAAUAAAUAUAGGGUAAAACCCAUUAAAUAAAUUAAGUUUUAAAUAGUCUUGGGGUUUUAAAUUGGGCUUAUAAUAUAUUCGGUUCAUUUUCUAAAGUUUUUCCUAAAAUAAAAAUUAUAAAAACUUAUAUUAAAUUAUAAUUUAAUUUAU